GUCCCUGGCCUCCCCUGCUUGGUUCGGGGCGGUUGGCCGUGGACGCGCCCCGACUCUAGUCCCUUCCGUCCAGCCGCCCGCCCCAGGAUGUCCCCCCACCGCAGCCCCGCCGUGGCCAGGAGGUGUGGGCGGCCACGCCGGAGGGACCCACGGCGGCGCCGGACGCCCGCCCUUCCUAGGCCCUGGCCCGGCCGGGGUGGGCCGGGACGUUCCCUGUUGCAUAGGCAUUUAUUUAUUCAGCAGCUACUACGUACGUGCUGGCCCGCACUGCCGAGGGACCGGACGCCUGCCCCAGGCGGGACAAUGCCGGGUGCAGCGCUGGCGGGGCCUGGACGCCAAGCUUCAGGGUCCCCAGCCCCUCAGUCAGAGGGGGCGCCUCCCAGGCCCUGGACUCCUCUCCAGCCGGGUCUACACCACCGUCCCCCGUCAUCUUCUUCUGGGUUACUGAGCAGCUUCUUUUAAAAUAGCAACACCGAGGAAGGCCCCGAAGCCCAGUCUUGCACCUCGUGGUGUGAAGUCGUUUAAUCCUGCCCGCUAAUGCGUAAGGACUUUCCACCGUGUGCAGGACUCCGCGCUGGGCAGGGGCUCUCGCAGGGUUUGAACCGACCUCCGCCUCCCCUGCGGGUUCACAGGCCUGCGAGGAAGUCGCGUGAAGGAGAUUCGCUACUGUGUGAGGCUGGCCUGCGCGGCGUGGGCAGUAGCUGUCCGGGGCUGGGGACAGCUUUCGGCUCCCCAGGCCAUCCCGUCGGGGCAUCUGCGGCCAAUCUCGAAGGUGGAGAGGCUCAGGGUUGGAACAGACUUCACGGAAGGGGUCCUAGAAGAGGAAAGGGGUCGUGUUUGCCCUUAGAGCAGUCUGGGCGUGAAGCGGAAACUUUAAACCACCAGAAACUCUGGAGAGCUUGGAGCACCUGGGAAGGAGCAACCAGAGUGGGCCGGAGGUAGGGAAGGAAGGCACCCACGGCGAAUUUGCCCGCUUUGACCGCAUUUAGGGCGGCCGCUUGUGCAGCCAGCCUUCUGGAAGGUAGGCUUUGCGCUUGGUGAAGAGAAGCCCCCACCUCCGGAUCUGUGUUCCGCCCCAGUCCAUUCAUCAGGAGGUGAUCACACAAGUCAAGCUUCUCUAGUUCCCGGUGGAAUGAGACGCCCUGGUGGGGUCUUAAGGUUGAACGUUUGAAUACUGUAAAAAAGAUGGGACCUGCCUACAAUUAAUCUCUCACACUACUGAGCGAAUGUGCGUUGUUUUGGACUUCCCUAAAUUGGCCCAAAUGCAUAGCCAACACUUGAAUUGCGGUGUACUAACAACAUCAUUCAGCACCAAACCAAACCAUUCUUAUUUAAACCUUGCUUCCUAGCUUAUUUAUUUCCCAAACAACUUGAAAACAUUUGUUAUACUAAAAUGUCUACAUCUUACUAUUAAAAAAAAAAAACCAAAGUAACACACUUUGCUGCUGCCGUAAUUUUAUGUCACUGAGAUGAACUAUUCUACAAUACUUGUAAUUUCAAAUUUGUUAAACUUUCAGCUAAGUAGUUUUACCCAAAUUCUAAAACCAGUGAGGAAUCCAAAAUAGCACGCAGCAUUAAAUGACGUUUAUUGUUCCAUAAAUCUUCAGACUUCAAAAAGAAACGCUAAAUAGACAAACAGAACUCUAAAGCAAUUAAGAGACAAGCUCGCUGCUUCUUCCCCACUGACUGGCAAGGAAACAUUUGGUCAUACAAAAGCCAUUAAAAUGACGGAAAGGAGAGUUGCCACUCUCUAGCCUUUUUUGUUCUGAUCAAGUUUGAACUCUGCUGUUCGGAGUUCACACAAUUUACGUAGUAACAGACCUUCAGAGAAUUCCUAACGGUCAAGACAAUGAAAUUGCAUUUAUAUCUGUAAAAGGAAAAGAAACAUGAAGAUUAUCCCCAUUUUAGAGGUGGACACAUUUAGAUUUGAUUUGAGCUCCAGAUGAUCCUUGGCAAAGAAAGAUGAUGCAAUCCGGUGUACAGGACGCCAUAUUGCCCUAGCCUGGAACCGUGUUCUAGCCGCUGAAGAGCCUAUUCUGUGGCUUUCAAAAUGUUCUUUUCUCCUAGCUUUACGUUUUCUCUCCAGCGCUAAAUCCGUGGGGAUAAGCCACCAUAAACAAAGCUCCCACUGUCAAUGUCCUAAUCUUGAGUGGCAGGAAAAUUGGUAAUAUCAAAAAUGGGAGUAGACAGUGAAAAUUAUUUUAAAAGAUAAUUCUAUUAUGUACAAAUUUAAAAGAUAUCAGGUGGGCCGGGCGUGGUGGUUCACGCCUGUAAUCUCAGCACUUUGGGAGGCUGAGGUGGGCGGAUCACCUGAGGUCAGGGGUUCGAGACCAGCCCGGCCAACAUGGCAAAACCCCGUCUGUGCUAAAAAAUACAAAAAUUAGUCAGGUGUGGUGGCAGGCAGCUGUAAUCCCAGCUACUCGGGAGGCUGAGGCAGGAGAAUCGCUUGAACCUGGGAGGCGGAGGUUGCAGUGGGCCGAGAUCCUGCCACUGCACUCCAGCCUGGGCAACAGAGCAAUACUCCAUCUAAAAAAAAUAAAAUAAAAAUAAAAUAUAUCAAGCACACCUAUAGUCCCAGCUGCUCAGGAGGCUGAGGCAAGAAGAUCACUUGAGGCUAGGAGUUCAAGGCACUAUAACCGUGCCUUUGAAUAGCCACUGCAUUCCAGCCUGGGCAACAUAAGGAGACCCUACCUCUUAAAAAAAAUGUUUAUAUGUAAACACACACACACACACACACACACACACACACACCCCUUUAAUCCAGCAAUCCCAGUACAAUUAUUUUCCUGUGACAUUAAAGUUGCUCAAGAUAUACAAGGAUAUUCACUGAAGCAUGUUUGAUAAUAACAAAGCCAGAAAAACCACCAGUAGCCAUCGGUAAGGGACUAAUUAAAUAAAUUAUGAAUUAUCCAUAGUUAGCAAGCAUUUUAAAAGCAUUAGAUAAACAUAUAUGUGCUGGUAAGGAGAGAUCUCCAGUAUAUGUUAAGUGAAAAAAAGCAAGGUGCAAAAAGACACUUGGCUGGCUAAGUUCAGUGGCGUUACAAUCUAGUCAGUUCUGGAGAUGGGGCCAAUCAUAAAAUGUAAAGAACACAGCCUCCUGUACACUUCCUUCCUGUCAAAGGAAGAACACAGAUAGUAAAGGAAGGAAAUUCUUAUAGAGGAUUAGUGCUGUCAGGGAGAUCCAUCAGAGAAGUAUCAUGAGGUAAAUAAUCAUUAAAGAAAAAGGAUGGGGAGAGAUGAGCAUAGACAUGAGUUUAAAAUGGACAGGCGUGGCGGGGCAUGUUUGAGGAAAGAAACGGGUGUGCAAAGUUCAAAGAUGAAGCUAGCACGAAAGAGCCCAAGACUGGCUGGAGGCAUCCAGUUAGGAGGCUGUUGUGAUAGUACAGGUAUGAGACAGAUAAGGUCUGGAUCAGAAAUAAGGCAAUGAAGGAUGAAAAGAAAUGGUUUGGCAAGAAUUUGCAACUGAUUAGAUUAAGAAGAGAGAGGCAAAUAAGCUAGAAGGAGGAAUCUGAGGUGAAUCCAAGAUUUUAGACUGUCAAAGGGCUGGAAAAAAUGAGGAAGUCCAAAGGGGGAUCUGAGAUGCAGUUGACUUUAGAAAUUAGAGAUACCCAGCAGAAAGUUAAAGGUCAGGACUAAAGCUCGAAGCAAAGGUCAGGACUGCAAAUAUAUGGCUGAAUGUCUAUCAUCUAAAAGUCUGUAGAGAACUGAGUAUGCAGGAGUGAACCUUGGGAGGGAAACAUCAGUGCAAGUCAAAUAGAAUUAAGUAAGCCAUCUAUAAUCCUAUUUUUGGCCUUCCACAAUUUGAUAUAAUUUUAUUUCUUUGUACAAUGUGGUCUACAUUUUCAGUUAUGUGUGUAAGAAUUAGUUGUUAGUGUAUGAACCGUCUUCACUAUGCUAGUGAGUCAGCUCUGUGUAGGACAAGAUGAACUGGUUUUCAAUAUUUUAAUAUCCCUUGUUUCUUCAAGGAGAUCAGGGAUUAUACACUUUUCAAAUUCUAAAUAAAAGAAUGUGCUUUGUUUCUUA
Molecule: long non-coding RNA, 4023 nt
Filed under: Homo sapiens (human)
Lineage: Eukaryota; Metazoa; Chordata; Mammalia; Primates; Hominidae
Description: HSALNT0323963
Source: RNAcentral